GACAGAGGGGGCAAGCGUUGCUCGGAAUCACUGGGCGUAAAGGGCGCGUAGGCGGUCACGCACGUCCGUUGUGAAAUCGCUCGGCUCAACUGGGCGGGGUCAGCGGAUACGGCGUGGCUGGAGCAAGCUAGGGGGCAAUGGAAUUCCCGGUGUAGUGGUGGAAUGCGUAGAUAUCGGGAGGAACACCAGUGGCGAAGGCGGUUGCCUGGAGCUUUGCUGACGCUGAUGCGCGAAAGCGUGGGGAGCGAUCCGG
Molecule: ribosomal RNA, 253 nt
Filed under: uncultured bacterium
Lineage: Bacteria
Description: partial 16S ribosomal RNA
Rfam family: Bacterial small subunit ribosomal RNA
Source: RNAcentral